RNAcentral lists this transfer RNA (67 nucleotides) under Laxta sp. AUS2. Its description in RNAcentral is "tRNA-Leu". The record is from RNAcentral. Lineage: Eukaryota; Metazoa; Arthropoda; Insecta; Blattodea; Blaberidae.
UCUAAUAUGGCAGAUAAGUGCGGUGGAUUUAAGCCCCAUAUAUAAAGAAAUAUUUCUUUUAUUAGAA